UACGGAGGGAGCUAGCGUUGUUCGGAAUUACUGGGCGUAAAGCGCACGUAGGCGGUUAUUCAAGCCAGAGGUGAAAGCCCGGGGCUCAACCCCGGAACGGCCUUUGAAACUAGAUAGCUAGAAUCUUGGAGAGGUCAGUGGAAUUCCGAGUGUAGAGGUGAAAUUCGUAGAUAUUCGGAAGAACACCAGUGGCGAAGGCGACUGACUGGACAAGUAUUGACGCUGAGGUGCGAAAGCGUGGGGAGCAAACAGG
RNAcentral lists this ribosomal RNA (253 nucleotides) under uncultured bacterium. Its description in RNAcentral is "partial 16S ribosomal RNA". It matches the Rfam family "Bacterial small subunit ribosomal RNA", at positions 524 to 776 of the family's 1533-position model. The record is from RNAcentral.